Molecule: ribosomal RNA, 492 nt
Filed under: uncultured bacterium
Lineage: Bacteria
Description: partial 16S ribosomal RNA
Rfam family: Bacterial small subunit ribosomal RNA
Source: RNAcentral
AGUGAACGCUGGCGGUAGGCCUAACACAUGCAAGUCGAACGGCAGCACAGUAAGAGCUUGCUCUUACGGGUGGCGAGUGGCGGACGGGUGAGGAAUACAUCGGACUCUACUUUUUCGUGUGGGCUAACGUAGGUAAACUUACGCUAAUAUCGCAUCCGACCUACGGUUGAAAGCAGGAGAUCUUCUGCCCUUUCGCGUUUGACUGAGCCCUUUUCGGAUUAGAUAGUUGGCGGGGUAAAGGCCCACAACGGCGACGAUCCGUAGAUGGUCUGAGAGAAUGGUAGGCGACACUGGAGCGGAGACAGGGUCAAGAGUCCUGAGGGAGGCAGCAGUGGGGAAUAUGGGACAAUAGGCGCAAGCCUGAUCCAGCCAGACCGAGUGGGAGGAGAAGGCCUUGGGGUUGUGAAGACCUUUUGUUGGGAAAGAAAAGCAGCAGGUUAAGACCCAGCUGUUCUGACGGUACACAAAGAAUAAGCACCGGCUAACUUCGUG